This 583-nucleotide ribosomal RNA is filed under the name uncultured crenarchaeote. RNAcentral's name for it is "bacterial SSU rRNA". It matches the Rfam family "Archaeal small subunit ribosomal RNA", at positions 682 to 1272 of the family's 1478-position model. The record is from RNAcentral. Lineage: Archaea; Thermoproteati; Thermoproteota.
AGAACGCGCCCGACGUUGAGGGAUGAAAGCUGGGGAGCGAACCGGAUUAGAUACCCGGGUAGUCCCAGCUGUAAACGAUGCAGGCUAGGUGUUUGGACGGCCACGUGCCGUUCUAGUGCCGCAGGGAAGCUGUUAAGCCUGCCGCCUGGGGAGUACGGUCGCAAGAUUGAAACUUAAAGGAAUUGGCGGGGGAGCACCACAAGGGGUGAAGCUUGCGGUUUAAUUGGAGUCAACGCCGGAAAUCUCACCGGGAGCGACAGCAGUUUGAAGGCCAGAUUAAAGGUCUUGCCAGACGAGCUGAGAGGAGGUGCAUGGCCGUCGCCAGUUCGUGCCGUGAGGUGUCCUGUUAAGUCAGGCAACGAUCGAGACCCGCGUCCUCUGUUGCCACUGGUUUUGAGCCAGGCACACUGAGGAGACCGCCGCUGAUAAAGCGGAGGAAGGAGCGGGCCACGGCAGGUCAGUAUGCCCCGAAUCUCCCGGGCCACACGCGAGCUGCAAUGGCAGGUACAAUGGGUUCCGACCUCGAAAGGGGAAGGCAAUCUCGAAAGCCUGCCGUAGUUGGGAUUGAGGGUUGUAACCCACC